AAAUAAGUAAGCUAAAUAAGCUUUUAGGUUCAUACCCUAACUAUAGAAAAUUAAUAAAAUCUCUUAUUUA
Molecule: transfer RNA, 70 nt
Filed under: Acropyga goeldii
Lineage: Eukaryota; Metazoa; Arthropoda; Insecta; Hymenoptera; Formicidae
Description: tRNA-Met
Source: RNAcentral